RNAcentral lists this long non-coding RNA (579 nucleotides) under Marmota monax (woodchuck). Lineage: Eukaryota; Metazoa; Chordata; Mammalia; Rodentia; Sciuridae. The record is from RNAcentral.
GCUGUGGAUUGAACCCAGGGACUCCUGCAUAUUGGGUAAGCACUCUGCCACUGAGCUGUACCCCCUACCCAGUAGCAAAGUGUUUUUCUGGAAGGUACUGAACUUAAUCUUAGGAAAACACUCUCUUAAUGAUUUUUUGUUGCUUUUUUUCCCCUUCUUAGCUAUCCAGCAGGAGAAAGAGUGUGUCCAAACAUCAUAAAAUGGGGAUCUCCUCCCAAGAGCAAAUUUCAACAUUGAUGGAGAGUCUUGGUUUUAGUAAACCCAUGUAUUCGUAGAAAUGUUAGGCAUCUAUGGCUUCUCACCUGUACUUUGUGGCUAAGAGGUCAACACUAGUCAAUGUUCCCUUAAAUUUAUUUUUAAACUUCUCCUUGGUACAUAAAUAAUUUCCAAAUGAAAGAUGCUGUCAAUAGUCUCACCAUUGAUGAUCUUUGUGUGUGUAGUCUUUGUAAACCCCAUAAAGCAAGCCAAUUUUAACUUAGAAUGGGUACCUCCAUUGCUUCUUAAUAUUCAUGAAGUUACAUACUUUUGCAGCUUCUCGCAGUUUUCAUUUCUGUACCAAUAAAAUAAUAAACACAGUCA